UUAAUACCGGAUAGCAUACGAAUAUCGCAUGAUAUUUUUAUUAAAGAAUUUCGGUUAUCGAUGGGGAUGCGUUCCAUUAGUUUGUUGGCGGGGUAACGGCCCACCAAGACUACGAUGGAUAGGGGUUCUGAGAGGAAGGUCCCCCACAUUGGAACUGAGACACGGUCCAAACUCCUACGGGAGGCAGCAGUGAGGAAUAUUGGUCAAUGGGCGAGAGCCUGAACCAGCCAAGUAGCGUGAAGGAUGAAGGCUCUAUGGGUCGUAAACUUCUUUUAUAUGGGAAUAAAGUAUUCCACGUGUGGAAUUUUGUAUGUACCAUAUGAAUAAGGAUCGGCUAACUCCGUGCCAGCAGCCGCGGUAAUACGGAGGAUCCGAGCGUUAUCCGGAUUUAUUGGGUUUAAAGGGAGCGUAGGUGGAUUGUUAAGUCAGUUGUGAAAGUUUGCGGCUCAACCGUAAAAUUGCAGUUGAAACUGGGAGUCUUGAGUACAGUAGAGGUGGGCGGAAUUCGUGGUGUAGCGGUGAAAUGCUUAGAUAUCACGAAGAACUCCGAUUGCGAAGGCAGCUCACUAGACUGUUACUGACACUGAUGCUCGAAAGUGUGGGUAUCAAACAGGAUUAGAUACCCUGGUAGUCCACACAGUAAACGAUAAAGACUCGCUGUUUGCGAUAUACAGUAAGCGGCCA
RNAcentral lists this ribosomal RNA (684 nucleotides) under uncultured bacterium. RNAcentral's name for it is "bacterial SSU rRNA". It matches the Rfam family "Bacterial small subunit ribosomal RNA", at positions 163 to 849 of the family's 1533-position model. The record is from RNAcentral.